This 210-nucleotide ribosomal RNA is filed under the name Triticum aestivum (bread wheat). Its description in RNAcentral is "partial small subunit ribosomal RNA". Lineage: Eukaryota; Viridiplantae; Streptophyta; Magnoliopsida; Poales; Poaceae. The record is from RNAcentral.
AUGAGGUUCGCGGGGUGGUACCUGAAGAUCGCCGUCGGCGGCGCGGCCAUAGGCGCCGCCAUGGAGCUUUUCAUGAUCCACACCGGCUUCUAUGAGAAGGUGACGGUACUGGAGUCAGAAAAACGAGCUUGGGAAAGCAGUCCAGAAGCACAAGCUAUGAGAGAAGCCUUGAAUCCAUGGCACAAGCGUGAUGAGAAGGAGAAAAAAUAG